Molecule: ribosomal RNA, 814 nt
Filed under: uncultured bacterium
Lineage: Bacteria
Description: bacterial SSU rRNA
Rfam family: Bacterial small subunit ribosomal RNA
Source: RNAcentral
UGCAGUCGACGGAACUUUUCGGAGUUCAGUGGCGGACGGGUGAGUAGUGCGUGAGAAUCUGGCUUCAGGUUCGGGACAACCAUUGGAAACGAUGGCUAAUACCGAAUGUGCCGCAGGGUGAAAGAUUAAUCGCCUGAAGAUGAGCUCGCGUCUGAUUAGCUAGUUGGUGGGGUAAGAGCCUACCAAGGCGACGAUCAGUAACUGGUCUGAGAGGAUGACCAGUCACACUGGGACUGAGACACGGCCCAGACUCCUACGGGAGGCAGCAGUGGGGAAUUUUCCGCAAUGGGCGAAAGCCUGACGGAGCAAUACCGCGUGAGGGAGGAAGGCUCUAGGGUUGUAAACCUCUUUUCUCAGGGAAGAACAAAAUGACGGUACCUGAGGAAUAAGCAUCGGCUAACUCCGUGCCAGCAGCCGCGGUAAUACGGAGGAUGCAAGCGUUAUCCGGAUUUAUUGGGCGUAAAGCGUCCGCAGGUGGCAGUUCAAGUCUGCUGUUAAAGGUCGGGGCUCAACCCUGAACAGGCAGUGGAAACUGAACAGCUAGAGUACGGUAGGGGCAGAGGGAAUUCCCAGUGUAGCGGUGAAAUGCGUAGAGAUUGGGAAGAACACCGGUGGCGAAAGCGCUCUGCUAGGCCGAAACUGACACUCAUGGACGAAAGCUNGGGAGCGAAUGGGAUUAGAUACCCCAGUAGUCCUAGCCGUAAACGAUGGAUACUAUGCGUNGUGAGUAUCGACCCUCACAGUGUCGUAGCUAACGCGUUAAGUAUCCCGCCUGGGGGAGUACGCGCGCAAGCGUGAAACUCAAANGAAUUGA